This 408-nucleotide ribosomal RNA is filed under the name uncultured bacterium. RNAcentral's name for it is "partial 16S ribosomal RNA". It matches the Rfam family "Bacterial small subunit ribosomal RNA", at positions 28 to 526 of the family's 1533-position model. The record is from RNAcentral.
GACGAACGCUGGCGGCGUACCUAAUACAUGCAAGUAGAACGCAGUUGCGAACGGGUGAGUAACGCGUAGGUAACCUGCCUCAUAGGGGGGGAUAACUAUUGGAAACGAAAGAUAAUACCGCAUACUGUGAGAUGGACCUGCGUUGUAUUAGCUAGUUGGUGAGGUAAAGGCCUACCAAGGCGACGAUCCGUAGCGGGUCUGAGAGGACGAUCAGCCACACUGGGACUGAGACACGGCCCAGACUCCUACGGGAGGCAGCAGUGGGGAAUUUUGGACAAUGGGCGCAACCCUGAUCCAGCCAUGCCGCGUGUAUGAAGAAGGCCUUCGGAUUGUAAAGUACUUUUGUUAGGGAAGCGUUACCUAAAGAAUAAGCACCGGCUAACUCCGUGCCAGCAGCCGCGGUAAUAC